UAAUAGACGUUGAAGAAAAGGGUCCCUUAAAACGGUCAGACAGUGAUUCUAGGUGAGUGAGAACUAGAACAAGUUUUAAGUGGAUUGGCAUUUCGGAGUCAUACCAAUGAAGCAGCAGCUCGCUUUGAGCUGAAGUAGGGUGGAACCGCGAGAAAUCGUCCCUAUG
RNAcentral lists this unclassified non-coding RNA (166 nucleotides) under Latilactobacillus sakei. Its description in RNAcentral is "Lactobacillus sakei T-box". Lineage: Bacteria; Bacillati; Bacillota; Bacilli; Lactobacillales; Lactobacillaceae. The record is from RNAcentral.